GGCGAAUUAGCUCAGCGGUUAGAGCAGCGGAAUCAUAAUCCGUUGGUCCGGGGUUCAAAUCCCUGAUUCGCCACCA
This 76-nucleotide transfer RNA is filed under the name Nitrosomonas sp. Its description in RNAcentral is "tRNA-Met". It matches the Rfam family "tRNA". Rfam says of the family: Transfer RNA (tRNA) molecules are approximately 80 nucleotides in length. Their secondary structure includes four short double-helical elements and three loops (D, anti-codon, and T loops). RNAcentral also lists the same sequence under 9 other names. Lineage: Bacteria; Pseudomonadati; Pseudomonadota; Betaproteobacteria; Nitrosomonadales; Nitrosomonadaceae. The record is from RNAcentral.